Molecule: ribosomal RNA, 414 nt
Filed under: Citrobacter sp. DHRSS
Lineage: Bacteria; Pseudomonadati; Pseudomonadota; Gammaproteobacteria; Enterobacterales; Enterobacteriaceae
Description: bacterial SSU rRNA
Rfam family: Bacterial small subunit ribosomal RNA
Source: RNAcentral
GAAUAGCGUAGAGAUCUGGAGGAAUACCGGUGGCGAAGGCGGCCCCCUGGACAAAGACUGACGCUCAGGUGCGAAAGCGUGGGGAGCAAACAGGAUUAGAUACCCUGGUAGUCCACGCCGUAAACGAUGUCGACUUGGAGGUUGUGCCCUUGAGGCGUGGCUUCCGGAGCUAACGCGUUAAGUCGACCGCCUGGGGAGUACGGCCGCAAGGUUAAAACUCAAAUGAAUUGACGGGGGCCCGCACAAGCGGUGGAGCAUGUGGUUUAAUUCGAUGCAACGCGAAGAACCUUACCUACUCUUGACAUCCAGAGAACUUAGCAGAGAUGCUUUGGUGCCUUCGGGAACUCUGAGACAGGUGCUGCAUGGCUGUCGUCAGCUCGUGUUGUGAAAUGUUGGGUUAAGUCCCGCAACGAG